AUAGCCUUUCGAAAGAAAGAUUAAUACCGGAGGGGGGAGGAAUAUCGCAUGAUAUUUUUAUUAAAGAAUUUCGGUUAUCGAUGGGGAUGCGUUCCAUUAGUUUGUUGGCGGGGUAACGGCCCACCAAGACAACGAUGGAUAGGGGUUCUGAGAGGAAGGUCCCCCACAUUGGAACUGAGACACGGUCCAAACUCCUACGGGAGGCAGCAGUGAGGAAUAUUGGUCAAUGGGUGAGAGCCUGAACCAGCCAAGUAGCGUGAUGGGGGGGGGGUCUAUGGGUCGUAAACUUCUUUUAUAUGGGAAUAGAGUUUUCCACGUGUGGAAUUUUGUAUGUACCAUAUGAAUAAGGAUCGGCUAACUUCCGUGCCAGGAGCCGCGGUAAUACGGAGGAUCCGAGCGUUAUUCCGGAUUUAUUGGGUUUAAAGGGAGCGUAUGGGGAUUGUUAAGUCAGUUGUGAAAGUUUUGCGGCUCAAUCCAUAAAAUUGGAGUUGAAACUGGCAGUCUUUGAGUUACAGUAGAGGUGGGCGGAAUUCGUGGUGUAGCGGUGAAAUGCUUAGAUAUCACGAAGAACUCCGAUUGCGAAGGCAGCUCACUAGACUGUCACUGACACUGAUGCUCGAAAGUGUGGGUAUCAAACAGGAUUAGAUACCCUGGUAGUCCACACAGUAAACGAUGAAUACUCGCUGUUUGCGAUAUACAGUAAGCGGCCAAGCGAAAGCAUUAAGUAUUCCACCUGGGGAGUACGCCGGCAACGGUGAAACUCAAAGGAAUUGACGGGGGCCCGCACAAGCGGAGGAACAUGUGGUUUAAUUCGAUGAUACGCGAGGAACCUUACCCGGGCUUAAAUUGCAACAGAAUAUAUUGGAAACAGUAUAGCCGUAAGGCUGUUGUGAAGGUGCUGCAUGGUUGUCGUCAGCUCGUGCCGUGAGGUGUCGGCUUAAGUGCCAUAACGAGCGCAACCCUUAUCUUUAGUUACUAACAGGUGAUGCUGAGGACUCUAGAGAGACUGCCGUCGUAAGAUGUGAGGAAGGUGGGGAUGACGUCAAAUCAGCACGGCCCUUACGUCCGGGGCUACACACGUGUUACAAUGGGGGGUACAGAAGGCGGCUACCUGGUGACAGGAUGCUAAUCCCAAAAACCUCUCUCAGUUCGGAUCGAAGUCUGCAACCCGACUUCGUGAAGCUGGAUUCGCUAGUAAUCGCGCAUCAGCCAUGGCGCGGUGAAUACGUUCCCGGGCCUUGUACACACCGCCCGUCAAGCCAUGAAAGCCGGGGGUACCUGAAGUACGUAACCGCAAGGAGCGUCCUAGGGUAAAACUGAUAAGGGGGGCUAAGU
This 1335-nucleotide ribosomal RNA is filed under the name uncultured organism. RNAcentral's name for it is "SSU rRNA". It matches the Rfam family "Bacterial small subunit ribosomal RNA", at positions 143 to 1486 of the family's 1533-position model. The record is from RNAcentral.